Molecule: ribosomal RNA, 433 nt
Filed under: uncultured bacterium
Lineage: Bacteria
Description: partial 16S ribosomal RNA
Rfam family: Bacterial small subunit ribosomal RNA
Source: RNAcentral
AACGAACGCUGGCGGCAUGCCUAACACAUGCAAGUCGAACGAGACCUUCGGGUCUAGUGGCGCACGGGUGCGUAACGCGUGGGAACCUGCCCUUGGGUUCGGAAUAACUCCCCGAAAGGGGUGCUAAUACCGGAUAAUGUCUUCGGACCAAAGAUUUAUCGCCUUUGGAUGGGCCCGCGUUGGAUUAGCUAGUUGGUAGGGUAAAAGCCUACCAAGGCGACGAUCCAUAGCUGGUCUGAGAGGAUGAUCAGCCACACUGGGACUGAGACACGGCCCAGACUCCUACGGGAGGCAGCAGUGGGGAAUAUUGGACAAUGGGCGAAAGACUGAUCCAGCAAUGCCGCGUGAGUGAUGAAGGCCUUAGGGUUGUAAAGCUCUUUUACCCGGGAUGAUAAUGACAGUACCGGGAGAAUAAGCUCCGGCUAACUCCGUG